Small nucleolar RNA from Arachis duranensis, 107 nucleotides. The record is from RefSeq and is a predicted model, not a curated record. Lineage: Eukaryota; Viridiplantae; Streptophyta; Magnoliopsida; Fabales; Fabaceae.
AUGUGAUGGUGAGGAUAAGACUCAAAAAACUUCUUGAAAUGCUCCCAAUAUUCGUAGAGUGUCUCCCCAUCUCUUUGUAUGAUAUAAGAAAUCUCUUUCCUCAAACA